AAGGGGCGAGCCUGAUCCAGCCAUGCCGCGUGUGUGAAGAAGGUCUUCGGAUUGUAAAGCACUUUAAGUUGGGAGGAAGGGUUGUAGAUUAAUACUCUGCAAUUUUGACGUUACCGACAGAAUAAGCACCGGCUAACUCUGUGCCAGCAGCCGCGGUAAU
This 160-nucleotide ribosomal RNA is filed under the name uncultured Pseudomonas sp. RNAcentral's name for it is "partial 16S ribosomal RNA". It matches the Rfam family "Bacterial small subunit ribosomal RNA", at positions 370 to 524 of the family's 1533-position model. Lineage: Bacteria; Pseudomonadati; Pseudomonadota; Gammaproteobacteria; Pseudomonadales; Pseudomonadaceae. The record is from RNAcentral.